Long non-coding RNA from Rhipicephalus microplus (southern cattle tick), 532 nucleotides. Lineage: Eukaryota; Metazoa; Arthropoda; Arachnida; Ixodida; Ixodidae. The record is from RefSeq and is a predicted model, not a curated record.
GACAAAUGUAGUACCUGGCCUUUGAAUUCCACUUUCUUUAAAACCCACCACGUUAGCUCGACAACACAACGCCGGACGCAGUGGCACGAUCUUCCUUCUGUUGCAGGUCAGGGGACAUACAUAGAACCAAAGAAGGGAAAAUAUGAUCUGCGAGUUCUUUGCGUUGACUUUUCUGUUUAAUGUCUUUUGCCCAUACCAUUGUAGGUUACCGAAUAGCACCACUGUUCUCUACAAUGGAGAGACAAUGAAUUCGUCGCAUCCUUGUGUGCGUUACACUUGCGACAAGGGAAGCCUAACGAUAAAGGAAUGCUGGAAGAAAGGUUACCCAGAAUGCCUGACAGCCGAAGCAGCAAAGAGCACAUUUCCUGUCUGUUGUGCUCUCCCGGUAUGUUCGUGACAAAACAUGUGAAAGACAGACCAGAACUUCCAAUUUCUGAAUUUUUUUUUCUGUAGCGCCACUCAUUUGUGACAAUGCUUCCGUCACUAGUUGAAAAUAACCAAAAGAAGAUGGCAUGACGUUCCUUUUUUUUUC